RNAcentral lists this ribosomal RNA (253 nucleotides) under uncultured bacterium. RNAcentral describes it as "partial 16S ribosomal RNA". It matches the Rfam family "Bacterial small subunit ribosomal RNA", at positions 524 to 776 of the family's 1533-position model. The record is from RNAcentral.
UACAGGGGGGGCAAGCGUUGUUCGGAAUUACUGGGCGUAAAGGGCUCGUAGGCGGCCAACUAAGUCACACGUGAAAUCCCCAGGCUUAACCUAGGAACUGCGUGUGAUACUGGAUGGCUUGAAUUCGGGAGAGGGAUGCAGAAUUCCAGGUGUAGCGGUGAAAUGCGUAGAUAUCUGGAGGAAUACCGGUGGCGAAGGCGGCAUCCUGGACCGACAUUGACGCUGAGGAGCGAAAGCUAGGGGAGCAAACGGG